This 1024-nucleotide long non-coding RNA is filed under the name Rosa chinensis. Its description in RNAcentral is "sRNA RchiOBHm_Chr7g0241251". The record is from RNAcentral. Lineage: Eukaryota; Viridiplantae; Streptophyta; Magnoliopsida; Rosales; Rosaceae.
GAAGAUGAGGGAUUUGGGUAUAGGGUUGUGAUCGAUACUUAGUUUUUGGGACGUGUUAGUGCAAUAAUGUUUGUGAGAAGUGGUUCUUCUAUUUACACUGCUGGUGCUGAAGGGAUGAUUUGUGAAAUCGAUUCACUGACAGCAGCAAAGGUUUCUGUUAAGUCUGGAGUUUGUAUAUAUUGAAGUUAGUACAGCAAAUCUUGGUAUUAUUGCUGGUCUUGCUGCUCUAAUUUUGGGAUCGAAGAAGUUACCUGAAUUGGGCAAGAGGUUAUGAAGACUAUCAAGAGUUUCUAACAGUCAAGGGAGAUUAGAGUUGCUUGGAGAGUGGAGAGCUAAAAGUGGUGUUUUCUUGAUUGGCUAGACAAAUUUGUCAUUCGGCUCUGAGUUCUUUGCUUUGGUUGCACGCACUAAAAGGUAGUUUCUGUAUUUUAACAUAGCAUUCAAUAUGCAACUCUUUUUAAAUUUUCAGCAACUGAAAUAUUCAGGGCUGCCACUUGAAUUAUUCCUAUUACUGUUCCUUUUAUUUUGAGAGUUUCCAUAAUAUCCAAGAUGGUUAACCUGAUAUUGCAUUAAAUAUUUUCUUCAUACCUGUAAGUGUUGAGAUGAAUUUUUGUCAAAUCUUUUAAGUCCUUUAUGUAUCAAAGUUGUGUUAUUUCGAUUUCUGCUAUGAUCUUGGCUAAAUGUGGAAUGAAGUAAUUUUUACAUGUGGGUGCAUAUAAUUGAUUCUUCGAAUGUUAUUCAGAGACAUGACUAACACAAAAGCUCUAACUUAAAAUGACAAAGAGUUAAAGUUCUUCUCAAUUCCAUGUUAUUCUAUUACUUUUACUUUUAAUAGUCUACAUGCAUUUGAUGUCCAUGUCCAACAAUCAAUGAGAGAUUAAAGUUAUUGAUAAUAAAGACUUUGUGGUAAGUAGGCUACAUAUUAGUAAUCCCGUCUUAUAGAAUUCCUCGGGUAGAUAUAGAGGUAGAACUACUAAGCUGUUAUUUACCAAUGAAAAUGUACAAGUGAAUUCUAUCUAAUCUG